UUGGAUUCAAAUUAAUAUGACCAACCAAUCAUUGAACAAAUCGGAUCUAAUAUUAAUGCGUGUAGAAUAAGAAAAAAAAAACAUCUCAUUCUAAUUAUAAGAAAUAGCUAACUUGAAUUUUUUUAUUUUCUUUCUCCAUUUUAGACUUCUUUAUCUUUAAUUUGAGCAUCAAAGUCAUUUAUUUUUUCCCCCUGAACAACAAAUUUAUUGUUCAAUCAUACAAAUGUUAAAUGUUAUGCACGUUUUGUUUACAAAGAUUAAUCUCUUAACUUAAAAAAACAAUGUGUAGGUUAAUUUUGAUGAGUAAUCACUUCUGGUAACAAUGAAAUUUAGUUUUUUUUUUUUUUUUUAAGGUAAAACAAUGGACAAGAAUUAUAUUGGAAUUCAUAUUCAAUAAUGGAGAUGCAUAUGUGGCAAUUGACUUAAUUUAAAUAUAUAUAAUUUAGAAAAGAAAAUCGAAACCCUUUUUAUUAUUUUAUAUAUUCAAUUUUGAACUUGGUUUGGUUUUAAAGAGCACUUAAAAUUGCCUCACUUCACCAAAAAAAGAAAAAAAUUAAUCAAUACUCUUUAACAAUCAUUUUCAAAGACAUUUUCUCAUUAUAAAAACACUAUUGGUUGUUGACAUUGAAACUCAAACACCCAAUUCUUUUUACAAGAUUUUGAAACAUAAAAUUGGUGAAGCAUUGGGAAUUUAUUUUUAAAAUCAGUUGAUUGAAUCUCAUAUUUGCAUUAUUGAAGCAAAAGAUAUAUAAAUUUGUGAAAAAUAGAAAAAAAAGUUGGGAUGGUAAUAAAGUAAUUCCGAAUGAAGGAAAAGGGUCCUACUGCAUUAUUUCAGAAAAUAAAGAGUUGGAAAAAGAAAAUCUGAAAUUUGGAAACUUAUCGAAAUGGACAAAGAGAGGGAGAAAAAAAUAAAAGACUUUAAAAAUAAAUCACGUACAGACAGGAGCAGAAUAACAUAAAUUACAACCUGGCCCUGAUUUUCUUUCAUCUUCAAUCAAAUCAUCGCAGAGUCCAGACACGGCACUCAACGACGACUACAAAGAUGAUGAUGAUGAUCAAAUCAUGUAAAGAUCCAACGCUCACAAAUGAGACACGACCAAACCCAUCCGAUAAAAGAAACUUAACAAAACCAAAUACACCAGAUUAAAAAGAAAAGAAAAGAGUGGCCGCCGUCGCUGCCGCGUCCGCCGUGGGUGGUGGUGGUGCUUGACUUAGUAGUCGGUGGUUGGGAGUUGCUCGUGGGAGUUGGAGAUGAAGAUGAAUUCGUAGAUGAGACCAGCAAGGCCACCACCGAUCAAAGGCCCGGCCCAGUAGAUCCAGUGGCUUUCCCAUGACCAGCUCACGACUGAUGGGCCGAAUGCGACGGCGGGGUUCAUGGAGGCUCCGGUGAAUGCUCCACCGGCCAAAAUGUUGGCUCCGACGAUGAAACCGAUUGCGAUGGGUGCAAUUGUUCCCAAACUGCCCUUCUUGGGAUCCACUGCGGUCGCGUACACCGUGUACACCAAUCCGAAUGUCAUGACGAUCUCGAAAACGAAGGCGUUCAGUUCACCAACUCCUGCUGAUAGAGCGAAGCUUCCGGUGGGCUGUCAUGCACACGAAUGUAAACCCCAAUUAAAUUAAUAAAUGAAUAAAAGUGAUUUUCUUCCCAAGUAACUGAAAUAACGACAUCUUACCCUAACAUUUAGACUCUAAUAAUCCCAUAAAAUUCCAAAAGAAAAAAAUAGCCAUUUAAUAAGAUUGCUACAAUGUGGCUCCUUCCUAAUAAUUUUUCAGUCUAUGCUUAAAAUUAUAAAUGUAUCUUAAUAAUUAUUAAAUAUAAAUUUGAGAUACUUCAAACUUUCGGUAGGAUGAUUACUUACAUUUUUCAAAAUUUUUUAAUUUAAUGCCCAGAUAUCUUACAUUGUGUCAGUAUCAUUCAAUAAUAUUUAAUUUAAAAUUUGUAAGUGAGUUUAAUAAAAAAAAAUUAACAACUUAUUCAUUUUUCUUGGGUUUGCUUAAUUUUUUUUAAUGUUAUGUUAAGAUUGACUUCUUUUUUCUCAUUUUGACUGUGUUAAGACAUUAAUAAAUUUAGGUAAAACUCACCAAGCCAGUGACGAAUUUAAGGAGCAAGCAAGCGACAACGGAUCCGAGGAGUUGAGCAAUCCAGUAGAUGAUACCACGUAGAAGGGUGAUGUUACCGCCAACGAAGGCACCAAAGGUAACAGCGGGGUUAACAUGGCCACCGGAGAUGUUAGCGCCAACGGAGACGGCAACGAAAAGAGCAAAGGCAUGGGCGAUGGAGGCGGAGAUGAGACCAGCUGGAGUGGCAGCGCCGUCAUUGGUGAGCUUAUUAAAGGCUAUGCCGGAACCUUGGCCAGCAAAAACAAAAAUCAAGGUGGAGAUAAACUCAGCCAAUCCAGCCUUCAAAGCAUCUGGAUGAGUAGCCUCUUCGGGCCUUCCAAUUGCAAUGUUACGGAUCGGCAUGGCUAGUAAUAAUUAGAGAACUUUAAAAUGAAAAUUCUUUAGAAUUAAUUGUAGUUUGUAGUACUCCAUUUCCACGUCCAUUUUCUAGGCCUUAUAAUGGAACGUUGGAGGGUAGGGUUAACUGGCUACAACAGGUUGCCGGUAAUAAUAGAGGGCAAUUAAAAAAAAAGGAAAUGAAAAAUGAAUUAAUAGUUGAACGUGAUUGGUGGACAUGGCCAGGCUGUGAAAUAUAAGGGGAAAUAUUAAUUGGUUGCCGCUGUUAUCCGAUGACCGUCCAGAUCCAGCGAAGCAAUUCGGCGCUAGGGUGUUGAGAUGUUGACACGUGUCUAUGGCUGAUAGGGACACGUAACGUGCAAAUUAUGUGGAUUUCGUCUCCUUUCGCUUGUUCUCUGGAGACAUCGAAUCCACUUCCCACGUUCAAUUAUUUCUCCACUUUUCUUCAUUUUCAAUUUUCUUUCUUUUUGGAUUUCCCCCUUUAAUCUCAUUUAAUUUCAUCCUUAUUAAUCCUUUUUUAUUAAUUAAUGAUCCUCAAAAUCUCAAUUUUUAAAUUUUAAGAUAUCUUUUUUUCUUCUUUUGGAAGGUUUUCCAUUUAUUUAUUAUAUAUCAUAUCAACCACGUUUCGAAAAUUAAGAAAAAUAUUUUAAAUAACUAAAUUGUUAAAAUAUUUAAAUUAUAACAAAAGUAUACUUUAUUUAUCAUCGUCUAUCACGUAUAAAUCGUAUAUUAAUAAAUAAUUUAGUUUAUUUUGUAAUAUUGAAAAACAAUUCAAAUUUUUACUUAGUUAUUUACUGUGUUUUCAAUUAUAAACUAUGUGUGAUUUGAUAUUUACAAAUGUUAAUAAAAUAAAUUUUGACACUCCCUGUCAUCAAUAACUAUAUAUUUAUAAUUAAGAGAUAUAAAAUACAUUUAUUUGAAUUUUUUAUUAUAAACCAUCACAUAUAUUUUAAACAUAUAUAGACUUCAAGAGUAAACAUUUUUUUUUUAAUGUUAUUUGAUAUAAUCGGAGUAUAAUUUUACUUAUUUUUAUGUAUAAGUUUUUCAAAGUAAUUUAAUUUGAUUAAGUAUGAAUUAAAAUAAUACUAAUAAGAGUUUUAAUAAAAUGUUAAACCACCACUAUCAUUGUGGUUGUGACAAAAUCAUUUUCCAAUGAAGCACAAAGUCUAAUAUUAAUGAAUUUGUUUAAAUAAUUUAAGUUGUUUCUUCUUCUUCUUUUUUUUUUUUUUUUUGGUGGAUUAUGCUGGUGAUCUGUAGAUGGUUAUCUAAAUUAUCUUAAUGGAAUCUUUGGAUAAUUAAAGACCAAUGUGAUGAGAUUUAAUAAUACCACACAUAUGUAUGUAUGUGAUCUGAUCUAAUGAUAUAUUUUUUUUAAUUUAUUAUGAAAAUUUUCCACAUAUAUAUCAAAAUCAAAUAAACAAAUAAAAGAAACAAACUAGUUUUAAAAAUUGUCUCAUUCGGAUAAUCCAUAAAUUAAAAUUCUUUCUAUCUUCCUCUUAAUUUGCAUUUAUGUUAUUUUUAUUUUUUUAUUUUUUUAAUAUAUCCAUCUGCAUUAUCCAAAUGGGAACUCUUCUUCUUUUUCUUUUAUUUAUGGAGAAAAUUUUCGUAAUAAAUCUCAGAAAAAUAUUGCAAUAUAUCAUUAGAUCAGAAUGCAUCAACUUGCCCGUGACAAUUCAAUUUUUAGGAUAAGAAUCUCUCUCUAUGUGUAUUUCUGUAUAUUAUUUGUAUUUAUAAAUAUAUAUAAUGUUUUGGUUGAUAAACAUGAGGUUUGGUUUGGUUUUAUCUUGAAUUAGGUAAAGUAUUUAAGAAUGUUAAAGAUUUUUUUAGCAAAUUCAGAGAGUUGUUUGAGGUAACAACAAAUUCAAACAUUUUUUUAAAAAUAUUUUAAUACUCUUUAAAUUUUAAUAUAUUAAAAAAAUACAAGACAAACAAACAAAUAUUUUUAAUUACUUUAUCACGAUUGACAAAUAUAUUCGUUUCACUUUAGACGUUCAUAAUUUAUAUUAAUUCACAAAAUAACUUUAGAUCUAAAUGUUUUGAAAUUUUAUCUUAUAUCAUCUACAUUUAUAACUUUUUAUGAACUAUCUUUCUAAAAAGUUAAUGUUUUUAUAAACAAGGAAAAUACAAAAUAUGUAGAUAAGAAAUUGAAAAAAAUUUCGUUUAGAAGUUCCAAAAUGAACAUCGUAGACAAAGUUUUGUUUUAGGAGUUUUUAUUACUUGGUGUGCCUAUGUUUUCGCCGUUGACAAUCUUGUCCUCGUUAGUUUUUGUCAAUGCUAAUUGAAAAUUAGUUGUGCGUAUUUGUUUACGCUCUUUUUAACUUAGUUUCUUGUUAACUUGAUCCAUUGAAUUGUUGUAAAAUUUUUACAAUGAUUUAUGGCCUCUAAUUUGAAAACAAAAUAAAUUUAUUUUUGGGAUAACAAUAAGACAAACUAAGCAUCCAAAUAUUAAUAUUAACCCUUUAAUAUAUAGUAGAAUAUUCUAUUGGAUGUUCGUUCCAUUUUUUUCUCUCUUUCUGACUUAUUAACAAAUCAUUGUAAACGAUGAUCCCACCAAUCAACAUGGGAUAAAUAUCAACUUCAUUAAACUUCCUUUAUAAUCUAUACAUUGUUUUCUAUUUUUAAAUAAAUAAUAAUAACAACAAUAAUAAUUCAUAUUCUCCCUUUUUCUCAUAUCCUAAUUUUAAUUCAAAUGUCAUAUUGGUGUGACAAGUCUCUUUUACAUAAUAUUUGUUCUCUUUAAAAAAAAUCUUGAACCUUCCAUUUAAAAUUUUGUAACUAUUUAUGACUUUUGCUAUUUCACACCAUCCAGUGUUUGGUUCGUAAUUGAUUGAGUCUGCAUAAUACAAUACAAGGUCUAGAAGCUGUCCCAUGGUUUGUUUGUAAAUUUGUCUACUCUUUUUUAUAUAAUCAUGAACAAAAGAAAAUAAAAUGUUCGUUGCUUUUACAUUUAUGCAUCCAUAACAAUUUUAAUUCAUCAUAGGUUAAAAUUGUUUACGGUUGUCAAACACAAGUAAUCUUUUGUUUUUAAAAUUACUUAUUUUUUAAAUUUAGCCGUUAAAAGAUGUAUAACAAACUUACCAAUAUUAUUUUAAAAUAUAAUUGUUUGUAAUUAUUUAUUUUAGUCUCUAACAAAUAAUUAAAUAUUAAAGUGGAAAAAAACACAAAUUUUCUUCAAUAAAAUGGAUAGAGAAUUUGGAACUCGGAAUUGAAUUAUAAAAUUUAAGUUAUGAAGCAUGUGUUAAAGUGUAAAAUUGGAAGGUAAAUUAUUUUGAUAAAAUGGUAAAAGAGAAAAGGAUAAAAAAAAAAAAAGGUAAAAUUUCUUAGGUGGGGUUGUAGUGUGGUUUAAUUUGAGCCACAGAAUGAAAGUACACAAUUUUGUGUUAUUUAAAUGAGAGGGAGAGAGUUAGUGAAGGUCUCAAAAGCAGAAGGAGAUAAGAUAUCCCACAAAUGGGUGCGGCAUCUAAUGAUUUAAGCUUGAAAAUGACCAAUUUUCUUUUCUUUUAUAUGUAUGUGUGUAUUAUGUAUUUCUAUUUUUAAUUUUUUUUUUUUUUGCUUUCAUUAUUAUAUUAAGAAAGUUUGCUUUUUGGGUGUGGGGAAAAGACGUAGAGAAUUCUGGAAUAUGCCAUCAUUGAUAUUUAAAUUCAGCGCCAAACUUUCUAAUUUUCAUUGCCUUUUAAUUAUAUUUUAGGUUUCUCUUUAAAUCCUACCAAAAUUAUUUGUUUUCAAUCCCGUGUAGCAGCAACUCGUUUGGUAUAUGUUCGAGAGUAAUCGUUUAAUAUAUGUAUGAUAAGUAAAGGUAAAAGUUUAAUUACUCAAAUAAAUACUUAACACUUUUAUACAAUUUUUAUUUAUUUAUUUCAAUAAUAAUGUAUGGAGUUAAAUAGUUUAAUUAAACGUUUUGGUUAUUGGUUAUAGAUGCAUAUAAUAUAACUAGUUGGUGAUAAAAAUUCAAAUUUUUUUAAACAUUUGAUCAUAAUAUGCUUAUCAAUGUAGUGGAAAAUGAAAAUAGAAAGAAGAAAAAAAAGACUACAAAUACAAGAAUUUGAAAGGGCAAAUUGAAUUGAUAAGGUCAAUAUGAAGGUGGGGAACAUAAAGAAUCACAUACAUGUUAAAGCCAGGCUGCCAUUUGCUCAUUGGCCUUCUCUUUCUUUUGUUGUCUUAUGGAAAUUGAAACUUGAAGGGAUCUUUCACUCUAUCACUCCCUGAUUCUGUGGCAAAUCUUUGUCAUUUUACUCUUUUAUUUAUCACUGCCCUAUCAUUUUUUGUUUACUUCAGUUACCUUAUGGUUAUGGGAGAGUAACACAAAUUAUUUCAUUUAUGACAUGAUGUUUGUGUGUCAGUGAUGUAUGAAUACGAUCUUUUUCAUGGGAAACGCUCUUAGUUUUGUUGGUUAUGUAGAGUUCUGAAAACAUCAAUAUGUCACUUUUUAGUCAUGUUAAGUACAACGGACCUUCAGAUAUCUCCACAAUGAUAUGAUAUUUGUCCAUUUUGAACAUACAUUCUCAUGAUUUUGCUUUAGCUCAACAAUCUAUAGUGGUUGGUCGUCCAUUCGACCACGAACAUGUACUUUGAACAUAACUAUGUCUCAUUCGACAACUAAGGAUUUUUUUUAGUGAUGAGACAUUAUUCUAACACCAAUUUAUUAGGGACAACAAACCUUCAAAUAUAUCUUCACAAACUUUAGGCAGGACUCUCAUGAUCACUUUGUUUUUUUGGAUUCACCCAAAAAAGUUUUGUACCAUUGGAGAUAGUUGUCAUCUCUUAUAAAUCAUGAUUAUUCUCUUAUUUAACUGACGUGAGACUUUGAUCGCAUUCCCACUUAAAAAGCUUUGAUUUUUAAAAAAUUACUUGAUGGUUUGAAUCAUUCCAUUAACGAAGUUACAAGUUUUUGUCAAUGAGAAUUUAGAUCGAUUACCGACAAAUAUAGGUUUGCUUGCAACUUUUUUUUUGGUCAAAGGUUUAUUGAUGCAUUGCUCAUUGAUUACCAUGUUAUUCAAUCAACAACCAACCUUUGGUGUUUAAUUAGAUUAAAUUAAAGAUCAUCCUCAAUGGAUGAAUGAAUUUUCUUGUGUCUCUUGAGGAUCUUGUUUCUUUUACUUAUUUUUUUUAUAAUAUAUGAUAGAUAUACAUGCACGCGAUAAAAAAAAUUAUGAGGUGAUAAACGUAAUAUUUAAUGAAACAUAAUAGCUAUUUGUGACUCUCUCAAACCACAACUACACAUUUUUCACAUUUUCUUUAAAUUUAUAGGGUUUGUUUGUUCUCCUUACACUACACGUGAGGAAAGAGACCUAUCUUUCUUUUUUGUCUCCCUUCUUUCCAUAUCAUCAUAUAUUUUUAGUUGUUCGUUAUAGUAAUUUGAUCAUAUUUGUAAAAACGCUUCGAAGGUAGAACAAACCAAUCAAGCUUAUAUAUAAAAAAAAAAAAUUGAGAAAAUGAACAAAUCUAUGAUUUUUUUUUAAAAAAAUCUAAACAUAAUUUCAACUUGCUCGACCGGUUCAAUUGCGACCUCAUACUACAAUUGCAUCAUCGCUCUCAAUCUAUACCCUAAUAAUAUCGUUAAAAGUUUACGUCGUUGGGCCUAUUUUCAGUAGAAGGUAUCCUAACCAAUAAGCUUUGAGAAUGAUAGUAAAAACGAGUGGUUGGUGGUAAUGAAAACGAAAGGAAACAAUGGUCGGUUACAACACCUUUUCCUUUCCCCAUUUUACCCUUAUUAUAAUUCACAUAAUUUAUUUUGGGUUGAAUCUCCUCGUCUCAUUCAAUACUUUUAUUACAAUUAAACCGACACAUAUUUAUUAUAAUUUUGACUUGAGUUUGUUCAAUAAUAUUAAACUACGUCAAAAAUAAGAGAGAGGGGCAUUUAUGAAAAAUCCCUUCAAACUUGAUUUGUCGUGCCGAAAUUGGAGAGUUGCUCUACGCCAGCCAGGGCCUAAGCUUGUGGGUGCGACGCAUGGUCGGCGCUUGGACGGCCCAGUUGGGCCAUUGAAAACGACUACAAUUUUGGAAAAUCUAUAACAUUUCUUUUUCAAAUUUCAAAUUUUAAUUAAAUAUCAAUCAAAAUGGGGCGGUGUCCCACCCUUUUACAUAUUCAAACCGAUAAGAACAACAAAUAUCUUAUCUGUUUAUUUAUAUAGCCAUUCUCAAAAUAAUAAUAAUUAAAUUGGUACACUCCAGAGAUGAACCUUUUCUUUUUCUGAUUGGAGAAGAAGGCAGUCUCAUCUACGUCUAAGUAAUUGGAUCUAUAGGAACCAUUAGAAAGUGUGUAUAUGUGACAAAUAGUUUUAGUAUUAAUUAUUAUUUGGAUGGUUUGAUUGGUUUAGGCGAGGUGGGGCAAGGGAAUUGUAGAGUAAUAUUUGACGCAUUGGAAGUGCAAAAUAUUUGGGCUCACUGUCGGUUGUCUUUUUGUUGGGUCGUCACCGCCCACUCUCACUACUACUCCGACCAUACCAAAUUUUCUCUUUGACCCAUUUAAAGUAAUGGACACUUUCAUUUUGUAAAUUUGUAUAUUGUUUAACGUGGAGGGUAAAUGCAAAUAUAAUAUAAUAACCAACCCUUUGAUAUCUAUAAAAAAUGAUCGGUUUAAUAAAAAAACUUAUAAAAGAUAAAUUUAAUGUAAUAUCACACCAUUAAAAGAUAAAUUUAAUGUUGUCUUCUGUCUACGAUAUAAAUAAAAUUAUCGAUAAUAUUGAUGUUUUUCUCUCUCUAUUUUAUAUAAUGUUUUAUUAUUGUGAGAUAAGGAUGUAAAUAACUUAAAUAGAGAGUUUUUGUAUUGACGUGUGAGAUAUAAUCAUACUUUUGGAUUAUAUAUAUAUAUAUGAUGUACUUGUGUCCAUAAACUCCGUCGUUUUUUUAUGGCAAAUGAUCCCAACGGACAUCAAGUAUGCAUGUUCGAUUUCGAAAUUAGAGGUUUGAUAUUUCAUUCUACGUAUUGUAAAAAAAUAGUUGGAAUUUUGAUUUUCAACUUUUAUUUUCUUUGUUUUUGUUUUUUAUUUUCUUCUUUUCAAAAUCUUAGAUUUUGUAUUAACAUGUUUUGUUAGCGUAGAUUUUAUGUUUAUCGAAUCAAUUUUUGAAUUAAAUCAUUAUGUUUUUUUUUUUUCAUGUUGCCAAAAUUUUAAAACCUAUUUUAGUUGGAAAUUUAAAAACAUAAAAGUUUGGAGUUGUAUUUCAUGUUUUCAUUUGUUAACAAACCAAUUAACUUAUAAACUUAGUUUUAUGUUAAACAUGUAUUGUAAUUUCUAGAACAUACAGUCAAAUUAUGUGGCCAAAAAGAGCAUAUCCCAACUUACAAUAUAAAUACAAUUGUGACAAAAAAAAUAAAUUAAUGGUUUGUAUCUUCCAAUCCUUCCUAUUGUACUGAAAAAACUAUCAAUCCUAACAUAUAUUUUGUAAAUCAAACAAUUAUUAAAAAUAUAAGACAAUAUAAAAAAACCACAAAUAUAAUAGUAAUUACAAUUAUAACUCAAACUUCAAAUGACACAGAUCCAAUUUCUAUAACUAUGAAGGGCGUUUGGAGGAAAGAGAGAUUUAUGAUAAGAUUAGUGUUAUGAUAAUUCUAGUAUUAUAAUAGUUCUAGUGUUAUGAUCAUAUGCGUUUGAAGAAAGAAUUACGAUACGUAGGGUUAUGAAUAGUAUAUAUAUGAGAAAAGGAUUAUGAUACUAUUGUUGUGAUGUUUUCUUUUUCUAAAAUAUAUAGUGUAGAUUUAAUACACAAAUUUCGUAAAUUUAUUUUAUUAAAUUAUCUUAUGGUAUUCGUUCAAUAAAUUUAGCAUCCAUUGUGAUGUUUCGUUUUUUCUUUCAUGCAUAUAUAUUGCAUAUUGAAUUAAAGAAACUUCCUAAAUCGAACGUACACAUCAAUAAUUUAAGAUGUGAUAUUGUGUUUGUACUUGUUUGUUUUUUCAUGCAAAUAUAUAUUUGUCAUUAGAUGGAAUAAUUUUCUUAAAAUCAUUUUUUUUAAUUUUCUUAAUUACGACAUUUAUUUCAUAAAUUUUCUAUUAAAUCGUUACUUUUACCACUUUUUCCUUUUUUGCGUACACAUGUAAGGGAAAACAUGUAAACACAAACCAUUAUUAUUAAAAUUGCUUACGUAAGAUUCUUUUUCCAUUAAAUUUCGAUCUAUCUCAACAUAAUGCUUACAUCGACAUACUAGUUUAAGUAUACAUCGCUACUAUUCGUAACUUUAGUGAUAAAGCAAUGCAAAAGACAUUUCAAAUACGCAUUUCCACGUUUCUCAUCCUCUUUAAUUUAUGGCUAAGAUAUUUUCUUAAAAAUAACUAAAAAGUGUCUAGGUCUAAUUUAUUAUAUUCUAAGCAUUGUUAUUUUUAAUUGUCACAUGUCAUCCAAAAAAUAGUACAAAAAUCUACAUUACAUCUAAACAUUUUUUUCUUUUUACCACGUACUAGCUGUGAGUAAUUUUAAGCUUUAAAAACUUUUAUUUUAAAAAAAAACAAUAAAAUUUAAGAUCAUUUUCUAUAAUUUAGUUAGAAAACAAGACAUUUAUUAGCUAAAAUUAAAAUAUUUGGAUAAGAUUAAUAAGAACUAUAUUGAUUUUCAAUUGAAUAACUUAAUUAAAAAAAACUAUUUAGUUAAAGAAGAGUGCAAGUAUAGACUCCCACUUUCGUUUAUUUAAAGAAAAAAAGAAAGAAGAGGAAAACCCAUGCGUUUAGGGUUUAGUAUGUAUACAUGGGUCAUGUCAAUAGGCUUUUUCGUAAUAUUCUCCUUUAAAUCUUCUUCUACAUUUUCGGAGGGGCUUACCCGAUUCACCCUUGAUACACCCAAAUAGCCCCUAAGUUUGAAAGUUAAUAGUGUGAUUGCAAUUUCCACCCGUUUUUUGUUGUCUUCUUUUGUUUUGUUUUUUUCUUUUAGUCGCAAAAUUUCCAAAAUAUAAUGACAAGCUGGUCCAACAUAUAGCCCAAUUCAAAAGCAGUAUACUAUAAAUGGGCCGAAAGCAGUGUCCUAAAAGUGGGCCAUUUUUCGGCCCACACUUACAUUGACCUCAAACGGCUUAGCCCUCCAAAAAUGGAAAUGUGAUGGAGACGUAGACGUAGGAUAAUUGUUGCUAAAAGUACUCUUUGAUGAAGAAUUAACGUGGUAAUAGUGCAGUGCAUGUUGCAUAUACAAUCUCAUGGUCACAUCAAUUAAUGCUCUAGAAUUGAGAAGUCCAGCUACUCGUGGUCACAAAACGUAUGUUCGAACGUUAAAUAAUAUAAAUUUAAAGUAAGAUAAAAUGAGAAUAAGUAAAUAUGAAACGAUAUUUUCCUUGGUCGAUGGACAUUGUCUCGUUUUAAGCUAUUGAGAAUUUAAUAACAAAACAUUAGAAAACUAUUUCUUUCAGUUUUGACUUAUUUUUCCCUUUAAAUGUGAAAAUAGCCUGAAAUAUCAUAUGUAGAUAUAAUUAGACUAAUUCCAUAUCAUUCGGCUCGAAUUUUUGCCUCUUCACAUCGAUGAUUGAAAAUCAUUAACCAAGGGCGUCAAAUUUAAUCAUAUUUAUUUAAUAAUAAUAAUUAUAAAUUAAAAACACAAACCAAAUAAAUAUUUUUGAGCGUUUUUAUCAUUCGCUCAAAGUAAAUAAAUCAAGUUCAAAACAUAUAUUUAUUCGAUGAAAAACAUAUUCAAGUUUGAUAUGUAUUCACACUUUAUAUAACUUUGUAUAACGUAAAAUAAAAAAUACACUUUUUCAAUAAAUAACUAUCAAGCUUUAGUCAUAAAGCAUAGUAAACUUAUUUGAUUUGUACUAUACACCUCAAGUUUUAAGCAUAGAUUUUGAAUUAACAAACCACUUCAUUUACAAAGUUCUAUGAUCUAAUCUAAAUAAACUAUCUUUCUUGAUCUAUUGUAAUUUACGGUAAAUAGAAUAUAACAUAGUAUUAUAUUUGAAAUAGUUAUCAUUUACAUAUUCUUAAAACUUUAGAAGAAAAAGAAAAUAAUCAAACUAUGUUCUUAAAAAGAAAAGAAAAUAAAUAAAGAAAGAAAGAAGGAAAUGGGGAAUUAUUAUUAUUAUUUAAAAGCGAAAUGAAUAAAAAUGACUAAACCCUCCAGUUGUUCCUUUUCCAAAACCUCCACGAUUUUCGUUCUUCUUCCUCCCGCCGUCGCCGCAGCCCACCCUCCAAUAUCCCUGCUGCAGUCGAACGCCGGCCUGGCACGCCAUUCUCGCAGCUCUAACACCCACCUACGUUCUUCUACGGCUGCUAGUCGUCAGUUCCACACUUAGUCUUCCACGGCCUCUCCAUGGUGAAGGCCUACCUUCGAUACGAGCCUGCGGCGGCUUUCGGAGUGAUCGUCUCUCUUGAUUCCAAUAUUACCUACGAUAGUUCCGGAAAGCAUCUUAUUGCUCCAGCUCUUGAAAAAGUUGGAGUCUGGAAUGUUCGUCAAGGUGUCUGCACCAAGAAUUUAACACCUACUCAGAGCUCUCCUGGCCCUUCUCUUGCUGUUACGGCCGUCACUUCCGCUCCUUCUCUUCUGGUUAGUCGUUUUCUUAUGGCAUUCCGAAAUAAUUUUGAAGUUACUAAGUUUGAGAUUCCUUCUACAGAAUAUGAAAUAUGUCUGUACUCUGAAUUGUUAAAUUUCAAUUGAUUUCAGAAAACUAUUUUAAUAGAAGUUCUUACCGCCAUCAGGUCCGCGGUGAUUUGUUGAGCCGAAAGCUUAUUCAUUAGUGAUGGUGACAAUAUCUUGAGGAAAAAAAUUGAUAGAAACUUUUAUUAAUUUUCAUCUUUAUCUUAAGUUGAAUUUUUGUAUGCAUGGAUGCUUGGAAGCAAAAAUUUCUUUGUCAAUUGAGAAAAACAGAAAACACUCUUAGGGCUUGAGAUUCAUUUGGUGUUAUGCUCAUUAUGCUUGUUAUAACUAGUGAGAACUGGCUGGAGGUUUGGUUCCAUUUCUAAACAAAGCAGUAUUUUGGCUCUGCCUGACUUUCUAUACAAUGGGGAAGUUGAAUUUCCAUUCAUUUUUAUUUUUAUUUUUUAUUGUUACAGAUCGCCAGUGGAUAUGCUGAUGGUAGUAUAAGAAUUUGGGACGCCGACAAAGGAACCUGUGAGACUACUUUACAUGGACAUAAAGGGGCUGUUACCGUCCUUAGGUACAACAAGCUUGGUUCCAUGCUUGCAUCUGGAAGCAAAGAUAACGAUAUUAUAUUAUGGGAUGCUGUUGGUGAGACAGGCCUUUUUCGCCUCCGUGGCCAUCGUGAUCAGGUUCACAAGUAUUACAAUUUGAUUGGAGCUAUUUUUUUUUUUUUUUCAUAUUUGAUUCUCUGAUAAAAAGAUAACUUCUUUUAUCAAGCUGAACCUGGUACACCGAAAGUAGAGCUCAAGUCUUCCUCCACUGCUUUGUCUUUUCUGUCCAGUGGAGUUUUUUCCUUCAAAAUGGCAGAUAUCGUGAACCUCUCAUUUGAAUUAUUGUGCCCACAUUGCUCCGAAAUUCGAUGUGCCAUACACUUUUCCAGCACCAAUUUUUCUUAAGAUUUCUAAACUACUCAAUUUAGAUUCUUGGCCUCUUCCCUUCAUUCAACUUUAUUCUGAUUUAGUUGGUUUAGGUUCUUGUCUAUGUAGAACUCAAGGACAUGGUUGUUCAACCUAUGAAACAUAUCCCGUUCACGUUAGAUUCUAAGCCUAAUUUUGUUGAUGAGUAUAUUUUUUAUGUAGUUCUCCUGUCAAAGGAUUUUCCCCCCUCCCCAUCUUUUUAGGUAGGCCUGAUUCAGUUGAUUACUAUCUUCUAGCAUGUGUAGAUUAUAUAAGAGGCCUGUCAUUCUCAUAGCUAUUUUCCUGUUCACUAAUGCCUUCUCCUUAUUCUUGGUGCAGGUAACUGAUCUGGUAUUUCUAGAUUCAAGCAAAAAACUCGUCAGUUCUUCCAAAGACAAAUUUUUAAGGGUGUGGAAUCUUGAAACACAGCAUUGUAUGCAAAUAGUUGGUGGACAUCAUAGUGAAAUUUGGUCAAUGGACAUUGAUCCAGAUGAGCGUUUUUUAGUUACUGGAUCUGCUGAUCAAGAACUUCGAUUUUUCACAACUAAACACGAUUUGGUGGCUGGUAAGUCUGUCGAUGAAUCAAACACAAAUGGAACCAAGGACAGUGAUCAAUCCACUCAAAGUAAAUGGGAAGUUCUAAAACAGUUUGGUGAAAUUACGAGACAAAGUAAGGAUAGAGUUGCCACUGUGAGGUUUAACAAGUCCGGAAAUUUGUUAGCUUGUCAAGUGGCAGGAAAGACUGUUGAGUUAUUCAAUGUUUUGGACGAAACUGAAGCUAAGCGUAAAGCAAAACGUCGUAUUAAUCGGAAGAAAGGAAAGAAAGCUGGAAAGGGAGAACAAGAUGUAACAGAAAAUGGAGAGUCAAACCAUACUACUGGAGAAGAAGGAAGCGGCUCCAUGAUUACAGUUGCAGAUGUCUUUAAGCUACUCCACACAAUUCGGGCUAGCAAGAAAAUUUGUUCAAUUUCUUUCUGUCCAUUGAUUCCAAAAAAUUCGAUCUCCACAGUAGCAUUAUCUUUGAAUAAUAAUUUAUUGGAAUUUUAUUCCGUGGGAAGCAGUGCAGUUACGAAAUUACAUUGUAUUGAACUCCAGGGUCACCGUUCUGAUAUCAGAAGUGUAACACUUAGUUCCGAUAAUUCACUUUUGAUGUCCACUAGUCAUAAUGCUGUAAAAAUUUGGAAUCCAAGUACUGGAUCUUGUCUUCGUACUAUUGAUUCUGGCUAUGGGCUUUGUGGUUUAAUUAUUCCUCAAAACAAGUAUGCACUUGUUGGAAAUAAAAGUGGGGCUAUAGAAAUUUUGGACAUUGCAAGUGGCAGUUGUGUCGAAGUCUUAGAAGCUCAUGGUGGCUCUAUACGAUCAAUUGUGGCUUUACCGUAUGAAAAUGGAUUUGUCACUGCUAGUGCUGACCAUGACAUUAAGUUUUGGGAGUAUCAUAUUGAGAAAAAAUCGGAACAAGUAUGUUCUCUUACUUCUUUCAUCUCCAUAUUUUUCUAUUUUGACUUAAAGAAAAUUCUUUUAUUUAGGGGUAUUGUUUUAUUUCUUUUGUGAUAAAAUGAAACUUGAUUUUCUCAAGUAAGACGGGCCUUUUCCCUGAAGUAGUUUGGUGCACAAUGACUACUUUAAUAUGUCUUCUUCUUGGCCACUUGUAAUUUGAUCAAAAAUCAUUUUUGUCUGUGCAUGGUUUCAAAUUUUAGAUUAUGAAUUCCUUGAGUUACAAAAGAAUUUGGAAUGUAACUUUUUACAAGAUUAUAAAAGCCAAAGGAGUCAUACAGAAGAGACUGGUCUUUAAAAGUUCAAUUUUUUCGUUCAGGCCGUAAGUGCCAGACAAGCAUUUUAAUGACACAGCUACCGAAAACCCUAGCUUUAGCUAGCAAAUUCAAACCAUCAAGACCUUCAAGGAGCCAUCCCCCUAGGACUUCCUUGAUUACUACUUCUUUUAAUAAAAUUUUCAUGAGAUAAACUUGUCUCAGAUAUUUUAAUUUUCUGUAAGAAUACAUUUUAGCUUUGUGCUUAAAUUGAUCUUUGACAAUGAUUCUGGCUGCUUUAUAUUUAGGUUUAGUAAAUAUUAUAUGUGGAUGAACUGUUUGAAGAAUCGAGGAUGUUUCAUAUUUGGAUUUAUCAAUGUGAUGUCUUUUUCAGUUUCCUUGUAAUUUAUUUCCACUCUAGAUAUAUAUUCAGUGUUAUAUGUGGCCUUUGGGCAUCAUUAGAAUCUAUGCCUUUUUAGGUUUGUGAUGUUCCAAUGAUGUUUUCUGAUUUACAGGACCCCAAAACCCUUUCUGUGACAUUUGUGAGGAGUAUGAAGAUGAAUGAUGAUGUUCUUGUGGCUGCUAUUAGUCCUGAUGGUAAAUAUCUUGCUGCAGCGCUGUUGGAUUCCACAGUGAAGGUGAACUUUUCCUUGUUAAAUUUUUACAUUUUUAUUAUUGUUGUUUUGUGAUUGUGAGCACAUGAAACCUUCUAUUAUUGUGUGUUUGUAUCAGCUUCUUGAGUAUUGCUUUUGAUACAGCUAAAGUUCAAUUUGGAGGAGGUGACAUUUACAUUUCUUUGCUUCGGGCUUUGUUCACUUUUUAUUUACAUAAGUCAAGUCAUCCCUUGUCAUGUGGCGUUGUUAAUGACUUUGUAUCACUUAUUUUGAAGUAAUCUGGACAGCCCCAGUAAGACUGUAUUUGGCCUUUCAGCUUGGGGUAGUUUGGUACGGUUACCUAAGAAGCACACUGUUAGACGUUGAGUUAAAUAUCUCACUUCUCAAGAAUUGUGUUAAAUCAUCAACCAACCCAAAAGCCAAAGUUGUUGGCCAUGGUAAAUUUAAUUAUAUGAAUACUUAAACACUCCCACACUUUUAGGCUUUGAAAUUUGUAGAAUUUAUAACAAGUGAAAUUUAAUAUUAAUCAAGGAGAAGUGACUUUUCAGUAGUUAAAAUUGUAGCCGUACCUUCUUCUUUGAUAUUAUAUUAAAUCACCAAUCAACCCAAAAGUUCAAGGCGGUGGAUUACGAUAAAUUUAGUUAUGUAAAUACCUCGACAUGUUUUGUAUUUUUGGGUUUGUAUUAAGAGAUAAGACAUAGUUCUUAUACCUUUACCUUCAGACUUUUUUUUUUACUAAUAUGUCUAUCUCAUGCUUAUAAAAUAAAACCAAAGGUAUUACUGUUAGUGAUAUAUAAUUAAAUUUUCUUUCCACCACUAGCUUAAUUUUUUGGGUGAAUUGGAGGUUUAAUAUGGUUUCAGAGCAGGUGAUCCAGGAAGGUCCUGUGUUUAAGCCGCUGCAUUGUCGUUUUCUCUCCAAUUAAAAUUGAUUUCCACUUGUUGGGCCUUUCAAAUAUUUCGAGCCCACAAGUGAAGAGAGUGUUAGUGAUAUAUAAUUAAAUUUGUCUUCAAUCACUAGCUUAAGCUAUUGAUGGUUUAGUAAUUACUACUUUAUUGCUUCAAGUUAUAUUUUCUGACUGCUUGUGUUCUCUCCAUUCUAGGUCUUCUUCAUGGAUACCUUCAAAGUUUUCCGUACUCUAUAUGGUCACAAGCUACCUGUGCUAUGUAUGGAUAUCUCAUCAGAUGGAGACUUGUUAGUGACUGGCUCUGCAGACAAAAAUUUAAAGAUUUGGGGUUUGGACUUUGGUGACUGUCACAAGUCUAUUUUUGCUCAUUCAGAUAGGUGAUGCAUUCAACAUAUAUGUAUUUUCAUUUGAAAAUGUUGUGGAAUGUUUAUUGAUUGUAAUUUUCUGGUUACAGUGUCAUGGCUGUUCAAUUUGUGAGGAAAACUCACUAUGUAUUCAGUGUUGGAAAGGACCGCCUUGUAAAGUAUUGGGAUGCUGAUAAAUUUGAGUUACUUUUAACGCUUGAGGGACAUCAUGCUGAUGUUUGGUGUCUUGCUAUCAGCAACCGUGGUGAUUUCUUAGUCACAGGAUCUCAUGAUCGAUCCAUACGUCGGUGGGAUCGAACUGAAGAACCGUUUUUCAUAGAGGUGCAGUCACUUGUUUCUUCAAGAGUAUCAAAUGAUAUUCUAUCAAUGGACGAUAUUCUAUUAAUGCUGUUAUUUAAUGUUUAAUAUGCUCCUAUAAUAAUUAGAAUAUACAAUAUUCAAUGUUGUGUUGGAUUCUCCUUUUUUCAGGAGGAGAAAGAAAAACGACUGGAAGAAAUGUUUGAGGCCGACCUUGACAAUGCAUUUGAGAACAAGCAUAUGCCCACUGAAGAAGUUCCAGAGGAGGGUGUGGUUGCUUUGGCUGGGAAAAAGACUCAAGAGACUAUUUCGGCUACAGAUUUGAUAAUUGAUGCUCUAGACAUGGCAGAGGCAGAAGCCAAGCGUAUAGCUGAACAUGAGGUCUGGAAACUUUUAACAAGUUUCAUCAGUUUUACUUUGUUCAAGUUUUACGAUUUAAUGUUUUGUACCUUACGGAAGACUGUUAUAAUGUUUUGUAUUUAGGAGGAGAAAAGAAACGGGAAAGCUUCUCAUUUUGAGCCAAAUGCUCUGAUGCUUGGGCUCUCACCAUCUGAUUAUGUUCUCCGUGCCCUCUCAAAUGUUCACACAAAUGACUUGGAGCAAACGUUACUGGUAUGUUGUGAUUUGUGAAUCAAGGAUUCUCAGUUUCAUUCAUGCAAAUUUUAAGGCUUGGUAUAUCGAUGCUGGUUCUCAUGAUAGAAGUGCAUUGCCAUUUUUUGUAAGAUAUCAUUGUUGUCUGGUACUAAAAAUACAGUGGUUAUCUAUAUAUACACAAACCUAUUACGUAUGCAAAAUUUUUGUCCUUAUCCUCUUGCUAAGCUUGACUGUGUAUGUGUCGUAGUAGUUACACAUUUUUUUUAAUUUCUUCUGGUUUCUUUGGCAUGUUAAAUGUUUUUCUAAAAUCGACUAGAAACUGGGGUUCCUUAGCGAGCUUGUACUGUAUAUUGUUUAUCUUCAGGUUGCAAAUUCUAGUUUCAACCUUGAGUUUGGUGUUCAAUACUGAAAGCCUCAUUGCCAUUUUGUUUCUCUACAGGCUUUACCAUUCUCAGAUUCUCUGAAGCUUCUAUCUUACUUGAAAGAUUGGACUUCCAAACCUGACAAGGUAGUCCUAGACUCCUAAUUAAUUUCUGGCUACACAUGUUCUGAUUAUCUAGUUUCUUACAAACAAUAGCUUCAGACCUUCUAGCACAUUCUUCGUGUACUUAAUGUGUUAUCUUUUCGUUCAUUUGAUUGGCAUUUAAUUUGGUAAGUUCAAGUUUAUGGAUUCUAUUCAUUAUGAAAAUAUGUUUUUUUUGGAAUGUUUUAAUAGUUCUUUUACAAGAUCACCCCGGUUGCUUCGUCUAGGGAAUGUAUUAUAAGGAGAAAGAGCAUAAGAUGUUGCAUGAAUGAAGUUAAUAAUACUAGCAGGAUGAAAACAUUCAAUAGGUACUAUUCUAUAAGUGACCUUGAUAUUAAUGAAUGCUUAUUUAUGUGAUAUCUGCAGGUUGAGCUCAUUUGCAGGAUAUCUACAGUUUUACUGCAGACGCACCAUAAUCAGCUUGUUACUACCCCUGCGGCAAGACCUGCAUUAACUAUUUUACGAGACAUUCUUUACGCUAGAAUCAAGGUACUCCUGCGAUUAUUUUAAGUUUUUAUAUGCUUUCUCCCUCUAUUUCUCAUUUGUUUCUUGAUGUGAGCACUUCUUCAUGACAACUAUGAUGUAGACAGGGAGAAUAGUCUGCGAGCCAUUAAAUAGGGAUGGAUAACUGUUAACAACUUUAACCCUAGUAGUUACAAGGUUUAAAUCUGAACUCAAUUAGUCAUCCACUUAGUUGAGGCUGUAAAAACGACUGUAACUGGGCUAAUGAAUAAAGCUCAAAACCGACAGAGAUUUAGAAGAUAGAUUGGUUUGAACUUUAAACCAUAACUUUAAUCAAGAGAAGUAAGUGAAAGAACUAUUCAAGAAUGACACAAGAUGUCCGACAUCAACGUUACUCACUUAUGGUUAAUGACUUCUAACAUUCCACUUCUGCGAGGAUAAACUCACUUUCCGUAAUACGUAUGAAAGUACCGAAAGCCGUGAAGUUGCUAAAAUGAGCUAAUUGUAAGAAGACAAUAAUGAUGAAAUAAAGCUUCGAAGAGGACUUGAAAUGCCCACGACCCAAAUUUUCUCCUUUGAUAUAUUAAAACCAUAAAAUUUAGGUGUUAGAGUUGCGAUUACAAAAAAAUGUGACAAUUCUGAUCCCCAAAUUUCUUCAGUAUUGAAUUACCAUAUGAUUUAGCUUGUUUUUUUCAUUAAAAUUGAAUUAGCAAAAUAUGUGUUUCAUUGACAAUAUGAACAUCUAAUGUCUUAGGAAUGCAAAGACACCAUUGGUUUCAACUUAGCAGCGAUGGAUCAUCUUAAGGUUUGUGUUUCAGUUUCGAAUCCUUUUGCAAUUGAUUUUCAUGAUAGGCAAUUUGAAUAAGUUAUUUUCAUCAUUUCAGCAACUAAUGGCCAUGAGAUCUGAUGCACUAUUCCAAGACGCUAAAUCGAAGUUGCAAGAAAUUCGUUCUCAGAACUCUAAGCGUUUGGAGAUGAGAACAGACACAAGACAAGUGAAGAGGAAGAAGAAGAAUAAGUAAAUCCACUGGCCUCACUUGCUUGGCUUCUACUUGUAUCUUAGGCACUUUGUUUAGAGAGGAUGCAGUUUGACAGGAUGACGUGAAAGUUUGUAGAAUGACACUAUGUAUUUGGAAUCUUCCAAUGGACAGCGUUUUCAAGUUCUUACUCAGAGGCGAAUUCUGCAAGGAGACAUGACAUGGCGGUAUGCAUACUCAUAAUCAACACAAAGUAGGCAUAGGGGGGAGAGUUUGUAAGAUAUCCUUCACAAUUUUGAUUUUACUAUUAAAAGAGCAAGCAAUUCUCUGCAAUUUUGUUCUCCUGCUAUUUAUAUUUACAUAGAAAUGGAGUUGAAGUUGCAUGUAAGUGUGUUCAAGUGGAAUAUUAUUUCUAUACUAUUAGUUUCACUUCCAUUUAUCGUGGGCGAUGACAUUAGCUUUUCUAUACAUCGAUAAUUUGUAGUGAACUCCCAAAUUGUUAUAAGUUCAUGGUACACAAAAAUUGGAUGGAGUUAGUAAACAAAAUCAUCUCCGAGAACUAACCAUUUGGUAUUAGUUAUACUCAAUUUUCUUAGUUAUGUACGAUCUCACUGUUUGAUUGGUCCAUCUUUAUUGGUUUUAGGUAAAUUUUUGGUAUGGAACUGAUAACUGAAGGGAAGGGAAAAAUGAUGUGAGAAAUGGGACAGAGAUGAAGGAUUGAAAAUAGUGUAUCCUAUAUUUUAUUACUGGAAUUUGUGUGGUAGAAAUCAACCCUAAAAUUUGAAUACAAUUUUAAGUUUUGCUAUGAUUUCUGAAUAAUUGUGAUCAAUCAAUUCUUAGACUUUCUCGACAACUCUUCUAAAAUGCUUGAAUAAUACAAUCAUGUUUGUUCUUGAAAAAAAUGGUAAUUUUCACAAAACAAUCAAGUAUGUUACUGUUUGCUUGUUGAACGAGACCUCCCUCUAAAAAAUUUGAAUCUAGUUUCAAUUAUUUGGGAAUACUAAGUUUGUGUAACACUAAUCUUUUAUAGUCACGAUUUAUUUUAAGAUUAUACCAUAAGUUGAGUCAUUUGAGUCAUUUCAGUUCAAUAAUGGAGAAAGCAGAAUUGAAACUAUCCACAAGCUUUUACAAACAUUUUCCUUCAUUUUUGUUCACAUCUAUUAAUUUCUUAAAAGACGAUAUUACUUUAAUAAAUAAUGGUAAAAAGAGUGGAGAAGAGAACUAUAGGUAGAAAUCGUGGACCAGAUCCAUAAUUUUCACUAACAUGAUGUCAUGACUUACCUAUUGCCUUUGAAGUGCCAUGCCAUCUAUAAAUUCCCAAAGGGUUGCCAAAUCAAAGAGUGGAAAUGAUUGCCAUAUUUAUCAUUUAGUUAUGUUCUAAUAAAUUUGCUGCUGGUCCUAGUUUUGUCAUUUCUUUAAACUACAUUAUUUUUAAAAUUAACCCACCAUGAUUCUCUUUAGGUAAAAUUUGAAUUUUUGUUCAAAAUCUAUAGGAAAAAAAGUUUAUAGAAAAAUUUAUUUAUUUUAUUUUUUAUGUGAAGGUAACAAAGGAUAAAGUUCAAUUAUUAGAAAUAAAAAAUAGUAGAGCAUAUUAAACAUCUGCUUUUAAACUAGCGCACAAUUUAAUGACAACACUUUCUUCAAAAUGAUCGCAUUUCAUCUCCCUCUAUUCAACAAUUCUUCGACAUCUUAUCUAUCCAUUCUCUUGGCAAAUAUUAUUGGAUAGAAUACACAAAAACUGAUACAGAACAAAAGUUUCGCUCUUCUUUAUUGAAACAUGAAGAUAAACCACCUACUAGCACGUGGAAAUGAGUUGAGACCAGCAGGCAAAGGGAUUGAACGAAAAUAAAAUCCUAAGCCUACAAAAAGAUUUCACUAGAGGAAGGAAUUGAGAUCUGUACCGCAAAGGGGGUUGGGCCAAAAUCAGACCCUUUGGUCCAAAUCCUUUUGAAAACAUCUCCACCUACACACCUGAAUUUCUAAUAUAUGGUGGUGUGGUGUAUAAGUUGAUCCUUAGUACUUAUGCAUAAGUUCCUUGUAGGCGUCCGGAUGCUCCGAGUAGUAUUUCACUUCCGCCUGCAAAUGACGAAUAGUUUCACGCAUUAUAGUUUGUGAUGUCAUGGAGAUUUCUCCAAAGGCCUAUUUGGAUUGAUUUUGAAGCGCUUAGAAAAUGUUUUUGAAUGAUACGUAAUGUUUUGAAGCACUUGCAAUAUUUAAAAUAAAUAAAAAAUUCAAAGAGGCCCUUUUCAUGUUAUAUGCUCACUGAAAUUUAACUAUUCUUAUUGAACUAAGUGAAAAUUACGUUAUCUAUAUAUCUUUAACAGUCUAGUUACGAAGAAACUGAAUGUUGAGAUAACGAAACAGACAUGUAAUUACAGCUGAAGGACAUUUCAUUCCAACUUCACUGACAAAUUAAACAUAUUCGAGUACUGUAGACGACUUAAGUUGACUAUUGAAAGUGGUUAGGUGGAUGCUUGUCUAAGAAUCAAGCAACAAGUUGAAAAGUAAACAACUGGGUCCACAUAUAAGAGGAACUAUAAAGACCAAAGGAAUGUAGUCUGUGUGAAUAAAUGCUAAAUUGGGUAAAAACCAUUAGAUUACCGCAAAAUUUCAGUAUCUUCUAAUGGAUAUCUAGAAGCCUAAGCCUUUGCUUACAUGAAAAAACAUUUAAUUAAAGGUAAUGAAAUUAAAGAGGGUGCAAGGAGACACAAAAAUCUCCCUCCAACGGCACAUUGGUAAGAUUUGAAAGGGAUAACUAGUAGUAACAGAACUUCAACUUGAGACAGAGGAGGCUCAAAAUAAAAUCGGAGUCCACAUGUAGUUGCUAGAGCUCUCUUUAACACUGAAAUACCCUAUUUCAGUUUAGAUAAGUAAGGCAAAAGAGAUAAGUAAUAAAGUAGUUUGUCUCCAAAGCAAAAGAGAACUCCAUAAGCCUUCUAUAAAAAAAAAACUUAUUUUGCACAUGGCUGCAAAACACUUGCUCAGCGUACUUACAAGCUGAUUAUUGGAUGAGGAAGGUUGAAACGAAGAUGUUUAGCAAGUUAUUCCAAAGCAUGGAAGGAAAAACAACAGGAAGAGGAAGCUUGGCAUCUCUCUACUAGUUUUGCAAAGAAAACAACAAUUUAAGUUGAGGUAGGAGUUUAUUUCUUUUCAGAAUUCUGUCACUGAGGUAGAUUUCUUUGGUAAGAGCUGAAGAAACAACCGUGAAGAUGUCAAAGUGAUCCAGAAACCAAGUUCCGGUGACAUUGCCAAAUGAUAAAUGCACUCUUCAAUAAGAUCCAGGAAAUGGAAGUCACCUCUAACCAAAAAAAAAAAAAAAAAAAAAACACUACUGAAACCAAUUGUCUAGCUCAAGAGGAGACAUGCCUUCUUAAGUUCGCAAAUUCCCACAAAAGUUUUGGUAUGACCACACAUGAAGAUCCUAAAUCACUAGUCUGUUUUGGUACGACCUCACUUGAGCAUCUUACAUCAUUAGUAGGUAGAGAGGACUCUACAGAGACAAUUUUGAAGUUUUAGUAUACGUUGAACUCCUGGAAGAACCUUGUAAAGGAAAGCGGUGGUAGAGGGGCAUGAAUCAAAAUAUAUCUAAAUGGUGAGGCCUAUAUGGUUAUGAUUAUAAGUAAGGCCUAAAGCAUGUAGAACUGAUCAAAAGAAUCAAAAUACAUUUAAAUGGUGAGGCAAUACAAGUGAAAAGAACUACAAGCCAUGACAAUUACCAUGAGAUAAGCCAUGAAAGUCAAAUUGCAUGCAUACCUUGCGAAUGGCCUUUAUGGCAACCACCAACUUUUCACCUAUAAGAUCUGCCAAGAUAUUGUCCUUUUCCAGAGCUUCUACAGAUUCAGAAAGUGAUUGUGGCAACCUUUGGAACUUUGAACCAAGGCUAGAUGGAUUUGUAUCUGUUUAUGAUCCAGGUUAUUAGAGUACAAGAUAGAACAUUUUGGAGUACUUUGCAUACACAUAAAAAAACAUCAUGUGAAUCCAAAGAGAAAACGCAACCACAUAAGCAUGUUAAAGGUAUUAAAAAAAGGUGCAAUGGCUAGAUUGAAAAUGUUCCUCGUCAACAAGAAAUAUUGCACUACAUAACAUUCAAUAACCUACAAUUCUAUUAAAGCAAACUGCUCUCCACGUGUAGUUCCUAGAUGGUUAAAGUUAAACUACUUAUUUAAUAAACGUAUUAAUAGUUUCUACCAAGUGAACUACAUCUCUUCCUCAAUUUGUAUACUAAGGUAAACAUAUGGAGACCUUACCUAUAUUCUCCUAUAAGAACAUAGGGUAGCUUAACAAGUUUCCAUUCCUAGUACUUCCAUUAUUAUUACUUUUUCUAAUAAGGCACCAACUUUUCAUUAAGAUUAACUAAAUGAAAUGAGUAUUGCACAAAAAUGCAAAGUCCAAAAGGAGAAAAAGGUCCAUCUCCACUAUAUCAUAAUAUUUAAUCCCGUUUCCAUAAUUUUUUUUCAAUGGCUAAUGGCACUAUGAAAAGUUGAAAACUUUGUCCCCUACUCCAUCCAGUUGUAUUAGAAGAGUAAAAGUUGGGAGACACCAGGGUUCGAACUCACUCAUUGAUGGAUAAAAAAUGAAUGUCUUCACCACUGUAUUCCUAAGGAGUACUUCUCCAUCUAGCUGUACUAUAAGGUAUCAGGCAAGUUUUGUAAAACGGGGCAGAAAGUACCAUCCAUCAUUAAAUGGGUUCAAGGCAUCAAAGUUCUAUGUUUCUACAUAUUCAACAUAAUUCAAUUUACUCAACUGAAAAAAGAAUCAAUAAAGUUAGACCUAAAAGUUGGUAUAAAUUUCAUGUUUCAACAUAUUCAUAGCACACUGUUUCAUGCAGUGCAGGCUUAUAUCACAAGAAUCAACAUGAAAAGGAAUUAAAAUUGCAGCCUUGCAGGCCUUAAAGUUGAGAGCUUAUGUUUUGAGUUUUGAUGACAUAAUAAAUGACUAAAUCAAACAAGGCUUAAAUUGACUGAUUAGAUCUCCCGUUUUAAAAAAUGGCAACCAUAUCAUUAUAUAUAUAUAUAUAUAAAUCUCAAACUUUUGCUUUCGGUUCUGUUUUUUUUUUACCGCAAGAAAGAGGGAGGUAAACAUCAAUGUGUAUUGACACAUAUCAUUAACUAAACCAUUGGAUGUGAAAAAGUUUUUAGGCAAGAAUAACUUAUCAUUUUGAUUAGUUGUGCCAUUAAUAUAAAGUCUAAAUUAUAAAAAUAGUAGUACUCUAGAUAGUUUAUUGAAACCAGGACACUUACCAGCAGGUUCAGGCAACUGAAGAUUGUUCCGAAGGCCAUCUAUUCCGGCAGAAACAAUAGCAGCCAUACCCAAGUGUGGAUUUGCACAACCAUCAAAACAUUUGAUCUCAAAGUUACUCACAAAACCAUCCGAAAUCCCAGGUGGACAAGCCGUUCUAAGUGGAGAUUCUCUGUUUUCUUUUCCCCAACAUUGAAAGGCUCCGCUCCACAUAUUGGGUUGUAAACGAUCAUAACUACAAGCAAACAAAGUUGCCGAAUUGGCAGGGAAGUGACAGAAGUUAUUAAGUAGCCACAUUACCUUAGAUGGAAGCAACCAUUAUAUUAUUGAAAAGUUGAUCCAUUAAGAUGGAAGAUUUCAUCAAUUUUACAGCAGAAACCAUGCAUGAUUGAGAGUCAAGAGAGCAUGGAAUUGAUAAUUUGAAAAAUAAAACACAUGAUUUUGAGGAGAUAAUCAAAUAAUGAAACAAAUAAUCAACCAGCCAACAAAUAGGACAUGCAUACAAAGAAGACAUGUCAUGAGCAUAAAUGUUAUGGGAACACAAGGACUUUUUCCAAGUGGUCACCCAACUUAGUUAACGUUAUUUGGUGACCAUAGCUACUUGUUAGGUCAAAUGCAAUGCCAAACAUUGUUGUGUUGUGGAAGCUACCAUGGCAAAAAUUGGCAACUGGCUAUUAUUGUAUAAUUGUGGGAUUUGGUGUUGUUCACCUGUUUGGAACUGGAGCUGUAAAUGCCAAAAUUGAUGAGAUAUGGUGUAAAACCCCUGCCAUGAACUUUUCCCCAAUAGCUGACAUUCCAUGUUUAGAAGAUCCAUCAGACGCCAUGAAAACAUUUUUACCAUUCUGCCACAAGCUGACAUGCACAUGGGAUCCAGAACCAAUAUCAUCCAGAUCGUACCUAAGCAAUAUUAAGAAAUCACGAUGUUAUUCAUUUUAGAUUACUGGGUUUCUAAACACUACAAAUCCAAGACAAAACAAUUUUACGGCCGCACCAUAUUUUCCAUCGCUGUACCAAUCAUAUUAGUUUUGUAUUCAUAGUCCCUCCCAUUGUGAAUUGUUUGAGGUGUUUGAGUUUUUUUCCCUAAAAGUCCCAUGGGAUCUUGUCUCCCUCUCAUAAGUUUUUACAAAUUCUUUGGAUCCUUCGUGUCGGUUUUUCUGGUUUGUUAUUUCUCAGUGUUUGGUCUGGUUUCUUUUGAUUGGUACGUCUCUAAAUUUCUUGUCUCGUGGGACUCUAACUUUGUUGAAGGUUUUCUUCUUUUUGGAUUGUGUUUGUCUCCUUUUUUUCUCUUCUAUUAAGUGAUCACGUAUGUUGGUGUAGUAGUCUCUUUUCAUUAUAUCAAUGAAAUUUAUGUUUCUGUUUCAAUUUUUUUUGACAUUGAUGAAAGAUCAGUGAGUCCAUGCUAACUAGUGACUAAAACUAGCAUAGCUAGAAAAGUUAACGAGUCUAGGCCAUUAUUUUUUCAACAUCAACACUAUGUCACUAAUGAUCUUGAGCAAGUUUACAAAAAGGUGCCUUUGGGCUCUCUUUCCCAAAUGGGGUGCUGUUUGUGUAGAGCUGGCGAUAAGUCCCAAAGGCACAUCUUCAUUCACUGCCCCUUCUCUUACUUCCAUUAUUUUUCAUCCAAAUUGAAUUAACAGUCUGGUUACCAUCAUAGCCAAGAGAGUCUCUUAGGCAUUAUUGUAUCAACUCAUUUACUAUUUCUCAAGCCUCAACAAGGAACUAGUUUUCUAAUAGGAGUCCCAAGUUAAAGUUGUUAGCCAAAACAACAUCCUCUCAAACAUUAGAGAAAACUAAAACAAGUGGAAAGUUGUUGCUCUCGUUCUAGCCAAGUGCCCAAUUACUUUAUUGAAUACUAAAACAUACUUGGGAAUAAACGUUGCCAAUAGUCCAUGCUUCCUUGCAGUAGCCCUAAUAACUUCCCGUGUGUAAACUAAGUUGUCAGCAGCAUUGAGACAAACAGUAUGCCCUAAAGAAAUCUCAAAUUGGCCUUUCCCAGCUUCCGCGUGCACCUACAAGAGUAGAAACAAACAAACAACCAACAAAAUCGAAGUCUUGGUCAACUUAAAGAGAAACAACCAAUCUUGACUCUAGGAAGACUGAGAGAAAGGACAACAUAUAUGACUAGAUACUUGAUGUGGUAAUGAUCUGUUUUAGGUAUCUAUGGUGUAUAACUUACUCUAGUUAGCAAAUAAAUAAGAAUGGUGCAUAGAAUUAGAGGCAUUACAAAUAAAUGGCAUAUAACCUAUGCAAUAAGUAUAAUUUUCUGUGUUUUGUACAUAGGAUUUAAUUGAAAUAGGUCAAGGGUGGACAUAGCCUAGAAUACAUUAAAAGCACACCUAAUUAUCUACAUACCAUAAAGUUUAGAUCUCAAUGGCAUAGUGUUCCAUUAGCUUAAUUGAUGAGUCCCCCAACACAAAUAUAACAGUAAAUAAUCUACACACUAUAGGUAUGUAAUUGAAGGGUCAAUUUCCUCCAAAGCUUGGAACUUCACAGUUUCACAUUAGACAUCAUUAACUGUAUAUAAGUGAAGGGAAAAAGGAAAGUGGCUGGGAAAGUGGUACAGAAACAAAAUUGUAAACACUAGUUCAGAUGCUAACAUCUAUACAUCUAAAAAAUGUUAUAAGUUAUCAUCCCCACCUACUUCAAUCCAAGUGAGAACUACAUCCUCCAUCCAUAUAUGACAUGAAGUUGCUAACCCACAAAAGUAAUUGACAUGUGUCACUUGAACAAAUAUUAGGGAACCUGACUUUCUGACCUCCAAAACGUAAAUUGUUACAAUGUCCUACAUGCGAUAUUUUUCCAUACCUGUUCCACAGUGAUAUUCAAUGAGCUCAAGGAAUCAACUACUUCAUGAAGAAAAGGAGAGGCAGCAUCAUAUGACGAUGUAGAACAGUAGGGUACUGAAUCAAAUGGCACCCAAUCUUCUUCUCCAUGCCUACAAAAGUUAAUUUACAUAGAUAGAUGGAAACUGGAAAGAUGCAAAAUAACAAAAUGAAUUAAGGCCAUAGAGAAUUGUAUAUGCUACCUAACUGCCUUUUUCAACAGGAAAAACUCGUUUUCAAAGCCUGCGUUCAACACCUGGACACAAGACAUUUAACAGGGUAAAUGUUUUAUAGAUCUUCAAUUCAAAAUACUUGAACAAUCUUCCGUACCAGGUCAAAUUCAUCUUUCAGAAUUCUACAGACCCUACGUAAGGCUUCCCUUGGACAGUAUUCCCAAGCUUCACCGGGUCUAACUUGCAUGUCACCCAAAACCAUCUCCUCCUGUUUGUUCCUGUUGAAAGCAAUGGUAUAGGUUGAACCCAAAGUGAUAUCAAUUAAGGACUGUAUUGUAAAUUCCCUUUUUCUUGACAAAGUUAAAAUACAAAAAUAUACACGCACAACUUCCUUUUCUAAGAGGUGUGCUGCUUGCAAAACUAUUCCAGAAACUCUCUUGAUGGUUUUUUUUAAGCUACCAAAGCUCAAUUAAUAAUUGAACAUGGCUGGAAAAGGUCUAAUAAACUGGACAUAGUAAUUGAGAAUUCUGGAGAGAAGCAGUCAGUUUUUUUUUUUUUGGAUGAAAAAUACACAACAGCCAAUUAAAUUCCAAAUCUUUGCACUCUCCCUAUUCACUUCUCACUUAUCUGCAUACACUAAAAACAGUAGGCAGAGAAGAAUGAACGUUUAUGCUCUUGCUCAUUACCUUUAUCUAAGAUUGAUGGGAUGAAAAAUUUGCAAAUUAUUGAAGGCUUAGCAGCCAAAAGAUAAAUGUAUGCUAUGAACUAGACUAAUUGGGGGAAAACAAGACAGCAAUCAAGGUGCUUGGUAAAUACAGCUGAGUUCUUAUUGAAAUUUUGGGAUUUUAUGAAGCCAAACUUCCUAUCUCUUCUCGAAUUUUUUUUAUAAAAAUGGGAGACUAAAUACGUGUCCAAGAGAACUUUAUUUGUUUAAUUCAAAUGAAAGAAUUAGCAGCCUAAAGAUAACAGGGCAAAUGUUUUGUAAACAAUUUUUUCCGUCUUUGAAUCUAACACCAAAGCCUACAAGGAUUGUUUUGAAACAAUUUUCAAACUGCAAACGCAUUUGGAGUAUAAUUGAAACCAACCGCAUAGUUUAGGAUAUUUUCAUAAUUUGACCUAUAGUCUUUGUAAAGCCAAGAAGUAAAUAUUGAAGUAGGUUGAUAUCCAAUGGUCACCACAAAACAAUCUAAGUAACUGAAAAAGAGUAGCUUGUCUAUGACAGAACACACGAAUAGAUCAUUGUCACGAGAAGACCUUUUCUUUUUAUAUAUGUGAGUGUACGAGUUAGCUUACGCACACCUCGACUAAUCUCACGAGCUGACCUGAUGUAAUUCAAAGUUAGGAUUAAAUUCCUCAUGAAUUCCCUGCCUUUUUUCAGGCUAGGAGAUUGUUAUAUAUUGAUAUUUCAAGGUUAGUUACAAGUGGGUGUCUAACUGUUUUGGUUAGUUAUUGAUUACAGCUGUUCUUUAACUAAUUAAGGAUUUUAACUAACUAACUAACUAUGGAACUAACUAACUAACUAUGGUUUACAUCAUGACCCUUCAACAUUUGAGUGUCAAGAAAACUCGUAGGAAAUUAAUUCCUAGGUAGGUGGCCACUAUGGAUUGAAUCCAUGACCUCUUAGUUAGUUAUUGAGACUAUUCUCUUUUUACCAUUAGGCCAAACCAUGAUGGUUAUGUCAUGAGAAGACUAUUUGUUCAUAUAUUUCGACCUCACAUCUAACAUUCAAAGCUAUUUGAACACAUUGAGAAAUUUUUAUAUCAACACAACUAGUUAAAAGAAUCAAGAGCAAAAAUCAUGAUGCAGAGUAACAAUAAACGUUCUGGAAGUUACAUACCAAGGAACCGCCACUCUAGUUGACAAGUCUGGCAGCAGCCUGAUCUCACCCACACUACUAAGAUUACUGCCUUUAGCAGUACAAUCAGCAUAAGAAGUCAUUGCCAUGGCAGCACAAGCUAAACCAACCCCGGUCCUUUUAACGACAUCAUUGAACCGCUUAAAGGGAACAGCCUGGAAUGAUUAGAACAUAAAUCAAAUAAUGCAAAAAAAGUAAAACAAUAAUGAUGAUGCUGAUGAUACUAAAAAGAAACUCCAACCCUAUGGAAAAAGAAUGAAAAGAGGAAGGUGUUUACAUGUACAUUGGGAUGUAUAGAAAAGAAAAAGUACAAAUCCAGUAUACAUUACAAUAGUAGGGAAGCCCCCUCACCCUCUCGAUAGAGGUGCUUGCUCCAUGCCCAAGAAGUGUUUGAAAGGAAAGAGUGACUCCAUUUCUCUUAGUGAAGAAAUUAAUGAUUUAUUUGAAAAUGUUCAAGGGUCCCACAAAUAAAACAAUGAAUUUGAUGGAUUUUUUUAAAAAAAUUUAAUUAGUUAAUUAUUUAUUUAUUUAUUAUAUUCUUUUUUCAACAAUGGGCAGGCGGAUGGGCCUCUGCCUCCUAUCAUCUUCUUUGUUUUCCAAGAAAAUUAGAUUAAGAAAAGUAUAGGUACUCCAAGUUGGGACAUCCCAUUGACAACACAAGCUCACACAUGGAAAGAAUAAUAACAAAGAAAACUCACACGGCAUCUCUGUUGUCCUGAACCAUCCACCCAAAUGAUCCGAACAAGCUUGACAUCCUCUUGCACAACAUUGGUCUUCAUCAAAGGAAUAGAAACCGCCGAACUAUUUGGCAUGAAACUCUCUAUCGUCAGACUCAUCUUGUACAAUUGUAUGGCGUUUUGUGUAAACAUAUGAUUCACAGCUUCAACGGCCUCAGAAAUUGAGAGAUCACCAUCAAUACAAGCAUCCCGUAGAACAGAUAAGACAACAUCCCUAGAUUUCUUUGCACCUACAAAACAAGGAAAAAUUGUUUGAACUAUGAACUGAUAAUAAGUGCAAAUAAAUGGAAGUAUUCAUGAGUUACUUUACUACUUUAUCAUUGUCCCAUUGAUACAUGUAUUCUUCUUUUCAUUACAUUUCGAUUUCCAUAUACAUUUAAGACGUUCAUACAUAUUUUUAUUCAAGUACCUAAAUAGUAGGUUUCAGGAAAGGCAUAUCCAUCUGUGCUGAACAUCACCUGCAGUUUGGUUGCCACACAACCCAAACUUAUAAACUUAAGCAUGCAAAAAUAUAAAUAAAACACAUACCGUAAACUAUAACUUCCAUAUUUAUUCAAGAAGGUUGCUUUAUGUUACAUGUUUCAGUAAACAACUUAUAAAAAAUUUUAAUAGUUAGUACUGCACUUCUUUCACCUUUUUAAUUGGAGCAAGCUCUAACAGUUCCUUGAGUGCCG
RNAcentral lists this long non-coding RNA (31884 nucleotides) under Cucumis sativus (cucumber). RNAcentral describes it as "long non-coding RNA (CSAT_LNC002455)". The record is from RNAcentral. Lineage: Eukaryota; Viridiplantae; Streptophyta; Magnoliopsida; Cucurbitales; Cucurbitaceae.